RNAcentral lists this ribosomal RNA (308 nucleotides) under Omanosaura cyanura. RNAcentral describes it as "partial 12S ribosomal RNA". It matches the Rfam family "Bacterial small subunit ribosomal RNA", at positions 869 to 1344 of the family's 1533-position model. The record is from RNAcentral. Lineage: Eukaryota; Metazoa; Chordata; Lepidosauria; Squamata; Lacertidae.
CCGCCAGAGAACUACAAGUGAAAAACUUAAAACUCAAAGGACUUGGCGGUGUCCCAUACCGACCUAGAGGAGCCUGUCCUAUAAUCGAUACCCCCCGUUCUACCUAACCUCUACUAGCCCUUUCAACCUAUAUACCGCCGUCGACAGUCUACCCCAUGAGGGAUUAACAGUAGACAAAAUAGCCCUCCCGCUAAUACGUCAGGUCAAGGUGUAGUUCAUGUUGAGGGAGAGAUUGGCUACAUUUUUUAGUUAUAAAAACACGGAAUAUAAAAUGAAACCCUAUAUGAAGGCGAAUUUAGUAGUAAAAU